This 103-nucleotide transfer RNA is filed under the name Saccharata proteae CBS 121410. It matches the Rfam family "tRNA". Rfam says of the family: Transfer RNA (tRNA) molecules are approximately 80 nucleotides in length. Their secondary structure includes four short double-helical elements and three loops (D, anti-codon, and T loops). The record is from Rfam by way of RNAcentral. Lineage: Eukaryota; Fungi; Ascomycota; Dothideomycetes; Botryosphaeriales; Saccharataceae.
GGCACUUUGGCGGAGUGGUUAACGCGCUGGCCUGCUAUACCUGAAAGGGCUUAGCUGAUAGCCAGUUCCUUCGGGAGCGUGUGUUCGAAUCACACAGGUGUCG